GACGAACGCUGGCGGCGUGCUAAUACAUGCAAGUCGAACGCUUCUUUCCUCCCGAGUGCUUGCACUCAAUUGGAAAGAGGAGUGGCGGACGGGUGAGUAACACGUGGGUAACCUACCCAUCAGAGGGGGAUAACACUUGGAAACAGGUGCUAAUACCGCAUAACAGUUUAUGCCGCAUGGCAUAAGAGUGAAAGGCGCUUUCGGGUGUCGCUGAUGGAUGGACCCGCGGUGCAUUAGCUAGUUGGUGAGGUAACGGCUCACCAAGGCCACGAUGCAUAGCCGACCUGAGAGGGUGAUCGGCCACACUGGGACUGAGACACGGCCCAGACUCCUACGGGAGGCAGCAGUAGGGAAUCUUCGGCAAUGGACGAAAGUCUGACCGAGCAACGCCGCGUGAGUGAAGAAGGUUUUCGGAUCGUAAAACUCUGUUGUUAGAGAAGAACAAGGACGUUAGUAACUGAACGUCCCCUGACGGUAUCUAACCAGAAAGCCACGGCUAACUACGUGCCAGCAGCCGCGGUAAUACGUAGGUGGCAAGCGUUGUCCGGAUUUAUUGGGCGUAAAGCGAGCGCAGGCGGUUUCUUAAGUCUGAUGUGAAAGCCCCCGGCUCAACCGGGGAGGGUCAUUGGAAACUGGGAGACUUGAGUGCAGAAGAGGAGAGUGGAAUUCCAUGUGUAGCGGUGAAAUGCGUAGAUAUAUGGAGGAACACCAGUGGCGAAGGCGGCUCUCUGGUCUGUAACUGACGCUGAGGCUCGAAAGCGUGGGGAGCAAACAGG
RNAcentral lists this ribosomal RNA (776 nucleotides) under uncultured Lactobacillales bacterium. RNAcentral's name for it is "bacterial SSU rRNA". It matches the Rfam family "Bacterial small subunit ribosomal RNA", at positions 28 to 776 of the family's 1533-position model. The record is from RNAcentral. Lineage: Bacteria; Bacillati; Bacillota; Bacilli; Lactobacillales.